Molecule: ribosomal RNA, 330 nt
Filed under: uncultured eukaryote
Lineage: Eukaryota
Description: partial 18S ribosomal RNA
Rfam family: Eukaryotic small subunit ribosomal RNA
Source: RNAcentral
CCCUUAGAUGUUCUGGGCCGCACGCGCGCUACACUGAUGCAUUCAACGAGCCUAUCCUUGACCGACAGGUCCGGGUAAUCUUUGAAUCUGCAUCGUGACGGGGAUAGAUUAUUGCAAUUAUUAAUCUUCAACGAGGAAUGCCUAGUAGGCGCAAGUCAUCAGCUUGCGUCGAUUACGUCCCUGCCCUUUGUACACACCGCCCGUCGCUACUACCGAUUGGAUGGUUUAGUGAGACCCACGGAUUGGUCCCAGCACGGCGGGUAACCCCUGCGCUGGUGCGCCGAGAAGUCGGUCGAGCUUGAUUAUCUAGAGGAAGUAAAAGUCGUAACA